This 465-nucleotide ribosomal RNA is filed under the name uncultured bacterium. RNAcentral describes it as "bacterial SSU rRNA". It matches the Rfam family "Bacterial small subunit ribosomal RNA", at positions 338 to 795 of the family's 1533-position model. The record is from RNAcentral.
CCUACGGGCGGCAGCAGUGGGGAAUAUUGCACAAUGGGCGCAAGCCUGAUGCAGCCAUGCCGCGUGUAUGAAGAAGGCCUUCGGGUUGUAAAGUACUUUCACCGGGGAGGAAGGUGUUGUGGUUAAUAACCGCAGCAAUUGACGUUACACGCAGAAGAAGCACCGGCUAACUCCGUGCCAGCAGCCGCGGUAAUACGGAGGGUGCAAGCGUUAAUCGGAAUUACUGGGCGUAAAGCGCACGCAGGCGGUCUGUCAAGUCGGAUGUGAAAUCCCCGGGCUCAACCUGGGGACUGCAUUCGAAACUGGCAGGCUAGAGUCUUGUAGAGGGGGGUAGAAUUCCAGGUGUAGCGGUGAAAUGCGUAGAGAUCUGGAGGAAUACCGGUGGCGAAGGCGGCCCCCUGGACAAAGACUGACGCUCAGGUGCGAAAGCGUGGGGAGCAAACAGGAUUAGAUACCCGAGUAGUC